This 253-nucleotide ribosomal RNA is filed under the name uncultured bacterium. Its description in RNAcentral is "partial 16S ribosomal RNA". It matches the Rfam family "Bacterial small subunit ribosomal RNA", at positions 524 to 776 of the family's 1533-position model. The record is from RNAcentral.
GACGAGCCUCACAAACGUUAUUCGGAAUUACUGGGCUUAAAGGGUGCGUAGGCGGCGCGGAAAGUUGGGUGUGAAAUCCCUCGGCUCAACCGAGGAACUGCGCCCAAAACUACCGUGCUCGAGGAAGAUAGAGGUGAGCGGAACUCACGGUGGAGCGGUGAAAUGCGUUGAUAUCGUGAGGAACACCCGUGGCGAUAGCGGCUCACUGGGUCUUUUCUGACGCUGAUGCACGAAAGCUAGGGGAGCAAACGGG